This 246-nucleotide ribosomal RNA is filed under the name uncultured Actinomycetales bacterium. RNAcentral describes it as "partial 16S ribosomal RNA". It matches the Rfam family "Bacterial small subunit ribosomal RNA", at positions 87 to 334 of the family's 1533-position model. The record is from RNAcentral. Lineage: Bacteria; Bacillati; Actinomycetota; Actinomycetes; Actinomycetales.
GUGCUCGAGUGGCGAACGGGUGAGUAACACGUGAGUAACCUGCCCUUGACUUUGGGGUAACUUCAGGAAACUGGGGCUAAUACCGGAUAGGAGCUCCUGCUGCAUGGUGGGGGUUGGAAAGUUUCGGCGGUUGGGGAUGGACUCGCGGCUUAUCAGCUUGUUGGUGGGGUAGUGGCUUACCAAGGCUUUGACGGGUAGCCGGCCUGAGAGGGUGACCGGCCACAUUGGGACUGAGAUACGGCCCAG